RNAcentral lists this ribosomal RNA (497 nucleotides) under uncultured bacterium. RNAcentral's name for it is "partial 16S ribosomal RNA". It matches the Rfam family "Bacterial small subunit ribosomal RNA", at positions 28 to 507 of the family's 1533-position model. The record is from RNAcentral.
GAUGAACGCUGGCGGCGUGCCUAAUACAUGCAAGUCGAGCGAACAGACGAGGAGCUUGCUCCUCUGACGUUAGCGGCGGACGGGUGAGUAACACGUGGAUAACCUACCUAUAAGACUGGGAUAACUUCGGGAAACCGGAGCUAAUACCGGCUCAUAUAUUGAACCGCAUGGUUCAAUAGUGAAAGACGGUUUUGCUGUCUCUUAUAGAUGGAUCCGCGCCGCAUUAGCUAGUUGGUAAGGUAACGGCCUACCAAGGCAACGAUGCGUAGCCGACCUGAGAGGGUGAUCGGCCACACUGGAACUGAGACACGGUCCAGACUCCUACGGGAGGCAGCAGUAGGGAAUCUUCCGCAAUGGGCGAAAGCCUGACGGAGCAACGCCGCGUGAGUGAUGAAGGUCUUCGGAUCGUAAAGCUCUGUUAUUAGGGAAGAACAGAUGUGUAAGUAACUAUGCACGUCUUGACGGUACCUAAUCAGAAAGCCACGGCUAACUACGUG